GAUGAACGCUGGCGGCGUGCUUAACACAUGCAAGUCGAACGGAAAGGCCAGUGCUUGCACUGGUGCUCGAGUGGCGAACGGGUGAGUAACACGUGGGUGAUCUGCCCUGCACUUUGGGAUAAGCCUGGGAAACUGGGUCUAAUACCAGAUAGGACCAUGCUUUGGAUGGUGUGGUGGAAAGUUUUUUCGGUGUGGGAUGAGCUUGCGGCCUAUCAGCUUGUUGGUGGGGUAAUGGCCUGCCAAGGCGUCGACGGGUAGCCGGCCUGAGAGGGUGUACGGCCACAUUGGGACUGAGAUACGGCCCAGACUCCUACGGGAGGCAGCAGUGGGGAAUAUUGCACAAUGGGCGCAAGCCUGAUGCAGCGACGCCGCGUGGGGGAUGACGGCCUUCGGGUUGUAAACUCCUUUCGCAACUGACGAAGCUUUUUGUGACGGUAGGUUGAGAAGAAGCACCGGCUAACUACGUG
RNAcentral lists this ribosomal RNA (467 nucleotides) under uncultured bacterium. RNAcentral describes it as "partial 16S ribosomal RNA". It matches the Rfam family "Bacterial small subunit ribosomal RNA", at positions 28 to 507 of the family's 1533-position model. The record is from RNAcentral.